ACAUACGACCACAGCCGCCUGAGAAAUCUGGAUCCCGUCCGAUCUCCGCUAGAUAACCAUGCGAGCGCUGGAUUAGUAGUUGGGUCGGUGACGACCAGCGAAUACCCGGUGUUGUAUGUU
This 120-nucleotide ribosomal RNA is filed under the name Claviceps purpurea 20.1. The record is from RNAcentral. Lineage: Eukaryota; Fungi; Ascomycota; Sordariomycetes; Hypocreales; Clavicipitaceae.